GGCCCAAUGGUCAAGAGGUUAAGACACCACCCUUUCACGGUGGAAUCCCGGGUUCGAUUCCCGGUUGGGUCACCA
This is a transfer RNA of 75 nucleotides. It matches the Rfam family "tRNA". Rfam says of the family: Transfer RNA (tRNA) molecules are approximately 80 nucleotides in length. Their secondary structure includes four short double-helical elements and three loops (D, anti-codon, and T loops). Further hydrogen bonds mediate the characteristic L-shaped molecular structure. tRNAs have two regions of fundamental functional importance: the anti-codon, which is responsible for specific mRNA codon recognition, and the 3' end, to which the tRNAs corresponding amino acid is attached (by aminoacyl-tRNA synthetases). tRNAs cope with the degeneracy of the genetic code in two manners: having more than one tRNA (with a specific anti-codon) for a particular amino acid; and 'wobble' base-pairing, i.e. permitting non-standard base-pairing at the 3rd anti-codon position.